CCUACGGGCGUCAGCAGUGGGGAAUAUUGCACAAUGGGGGAAACCCUGAUGCAGCGACGCCGCGUGAGUGAAGAAGUAAUUCGUUAUGUAAAGCUCUAUCAGCAGGGAAGAAAAUGACGGUACCUGAGUAAGAAGCCCCGGCUAACUACGUGCCAACAGCCGCGGUAAUACGUAGGGGGCAAGCGUUAUCCGGAUUUACUGGGUGGAAAGGGAGCGUAGACGGCAGUGCAAGUCUGGAGUGAAAGGCGGGGGCUCAACCCCCGGACUGCUCUGGAAACUGUACGGCUGGAGUGCAGGAGAGGUAAGUGGAAUUCCUAGUGUAGCGGUGAAAUGCGUAGAUAUUAGGAGGAACACCAGUGGCGAAGGCGGCUUACUGGACUGUAACUGACGUUGAGGCUCGAAAGCGUGGGGAGCAAACAGGAUUAGAUACCCCAGUAGUC
Molecule: ribosomal RNA, 440 nt
Filed under: uncultured bacterium
Lineage: Bacteria
Description: partial 16S ribosomal RNA
Rfam family: Bacterial small subunit ribosomal RNA
Source: RNAcentral